RNAcentral lists this ribosomal RNA (253 nucleotides) under uncultured bacterium. Its description in RNAcentral is "partial 16S ribosomal RNA". It matches the Rfam family "Bacterial small subunit ribosomal RNA", at positions 524 to 776 of the family's 1533-position model. The record is from RNAcentral.
UACGUAGGGUGCGAGCGUUAAUCGGAAUUACUGGGCGUAAAGCGUGCGCAGGCGGUUUUGUAAGCCAGAGGUGAAAGCCCCGGGCUUAACCUGGGAAUGGCAUUUGGGACUGCAAGGCUGGAGUGUGGCAGAGGAGACUGGAAUUCCUGGUGUAGCAGUGAAAUGCGUAGAUAUCAGGAGGAAUACCGAUGGCGAAGGCAGGUCGCUGGGCUGACACUGACGCUCAUGCACGAAAGCGUGGGGAGCAAACAGG